RNAcentral lists this ribosomal RNA (485 nucleotides) under Leifsonia soli. RNAcentral describes it as "bacterial SSU rRNA". It matches the Rfam family "Bacterial small subunit ribosomal RNA", at positions 97 to 596 of the family's 1533-position model. Lineage: Bacteria; Bacillati; Actinomycetota; Actinomycetes; Micrococcales; Microbacteriaceae. The record is from RNAcentral.
GGCGAACGGGUGAGUAACACGUGAGUAACCUGCCCUUGACUCUGGGAUAACCUCCGGAAACGGAAGCUAAUACCGGAUAUGACGCACGGAGGCAUCUCCUGUGCGUGGAAAGAAUUUCGGUCAAGGAUGGACUCGCGGCCUAUCAGGUAGUUGGUGAGGUAACGGCCCACCAAGCCUACGACGGGUAGCCGGCCUGAGAGGGUGACCGGCCACACUGGGACUGAGACACGGCCCAGACUCCUACGGGAGGCAGCAGUGGGGAAUAUUGCACAAUGGGCGCAAGCCUGAUGCAGCAACGCCGCGUGAGGGAUGACGGCCUUCGGGUUGUAAACCUCUUUUAGUAGGGAAGAAGCGAAAGUGACGGUACCUGCAGAAAAAGCACCGGCUAACUACGUGCCAGCAGCCGCGGUAAUACGUAGGGUGCGAGCGUUGUCCGGAAUUAUUGGGCGUAAAGAGCUCGUAGGCGGUCUGUCGCGUCUGCUGUG